RNAcentral lists this ribosomal RNA (288 nucleotides) under Triticum aestivum (bread wheat). RNAcentral describes it as "partial small subunit ribosomal RNA". The record is from RNAcentral. Lineage: Eukaryota; Viridiplantae; Streptophyta; Magnoliopsida; Poales; Poaceae.
CUGGUGAAGUCAGUUCUCGCGGCUAAACCCAUUCACCACUUUCUGGUGACUGACGCUCCUGCUUGGGUGUUCAAGGAGCUUGAUCGAAGCAUGCACGCAUUCUUUUGGGCUGGGAAGGAUAAAACGAAUGCUAGACAGUGUCUUGUGGCAUGGAACAAUAUCUGCCGGCCUUUGAACAUGGGAGGGCUGGGGGUUAAAAAUCUGCAACUGCAGGCACUCGCUUUACGAGUGCGCUGGGAGUGGCUACACCGGACUGAUUACUCCAGACCGUGGAGAGGUAUCCCUAUG